AUGGCCGUACCAUGCUGAAUAUACCGGUUCUCGUUAGAUCACCGAAGUCAAGAAUCAUUGGGCGCGGUCAGUACUUGGGUGGGUGACCACCUGGGAACACCGCGUGCCGUU
RNAcentral lists this ribosomal RNA (111 nucleotides) under Caerostris darwini. The record is from RNAcentral. Lineage: Eukaryota; Metazoa; Arthropoda; Arachnida; Araneae; Araneidae.